CUCGCCUCUUGCUGCACAUAGUAUAAGAGGUCCCGCCUGCCCAGUGAUCAUUUUUAACGGCCGCGGUAUUAUGACCGUGCAAAGGUAGCGUAAUCACUUGUCUUUUAAAUAAAGACCCGUAUGAAAGGCAAAACGAAAGCUCAACUGUCUCUUUAAUCUAAUCAGUGAAAUUUAUUUCUCCGUGCAGAAGCGGAGAUAGCCCUAUAAGACGAGAAGACCCUAUGGAGCUUUAAAUAUAUAAGCUAACUACGACCGCACUUUCAACCAACAGGUAAAAAUUAAAAACACGUGACCAUGGCUUAAAUUUUCGGUUGGGGCGACCACGGAGUAAAAAUUAACCUCCAUGACAUACAAUUUAGAAUAACAUUUCAAAAACUAAAACAUUUAUUUUAAAUGAUCCACUAAGUGACCAACGAACCAAGUUACCCUAGGGAUAACAGCGCAAUCCUUUCUAAGAGUCCCUAUCGACGAAUGGGUUUACGACCUCGAUGUUGGAUCAGGACACCCAAAUGGUGCAGCCGCUAUUAAAGGUUCGUUUGUUCAACGAUUAAAGUCCU
RNAcentral lists this ribosomal RNA (557 nucleotides) under Ichthyosaura alpestris (Alpine newt). RNAcentral describes it as "partial 16S ribosomal RNA". It matches the Rfam family "Bacterial large subunit ribosomal RNA", at positions 1815 to 2597 of the family's 2925-position model. Lineage: Eukaryota; Metazoa; Chordata; Amphibia; Caudata; Salamandridae. The record is from RNAcentral.